AGAUCCAAACAAAUCGAAAGUUAGUUCAGUGACUGGAGCCAUCCGUCUCCGCCCAGCGCUGCGCCCGCCGGAGACAAGGCGUCCACUUCCGUUCGCACCCCCCACCCCCAGGCGGCACCCAGCUCCUCCCGCACCCGCCCCACUCAGGUGAUUCAUUGCGUCCUCGUGCUUUCCCAUCUUCUCCUGUGCUUGGAUUGGAUCUGUCUGGGAAGAUUCAGCUCCUGGAUUCUUUCAUCUGUUCUUGGUUGUAGCCUCGUUGUUCUUAUGGAUGUUGCAGGCAGAAGAAGAGAUUUUUGUUCUGUUGUGCAAAUGCGUUUUGGUCUGCCUACUGUUAAUGUUUCAAUGUUGAUCGUAAGAGGAAACCUUGCAAAUAAUCAUCGAUCCAUGACAGAUGAUGCAUGAGCCUCUUCAUGUCUUAGUGCCACAGAUGGCAGAUGGCAAUGAGAAGGACUUUGAUGAAGAAUUCUCUGGUUCUGCAAAUGUCACCACUAGCAACGUGCAGGAUAUCUCAUUGGAGGGUGUCACUUCUAGCAAAUGGGGCAAAUUGCCUGAUGAUAUUUUUUUUUGAACAUCUCCCACCUGGGCUUGAUAAGAUGUGAUUGUCAAUGCAGGCUUGAUAAGGGAAAAGUAAAAGCUACAAGACAGUCAAAGUGUGGUGUAUGUGGUGAGUAUGGCCACAGAACAGGAAGUGCAAAGUGUCGAUACACAGGCGCGAAGACAAGGAAGAGGUGCAGGAAAGUAAAUGCAAAGGUUGGAGCAAAACCUAAAAUCUAUGUUGAUGACGAUGAUCAACGCGGGGAGUCUUCUGUACCAAAACGACGUAGAUGACCUAUUUUUGUAGAGCAAGUUGAAAAUGCAAGCACGACACCAGAUGACUUGCAACUACAUGAGGGAACUAAUGAGUCCCAAGAAUGGGCUCAAUUUGCUUCAUCUUCUGGAAAGAAGCUAACACCUAGGAGGAAACCGAUUGUCCAAGUUGAACAUGAUACUAAGUCAGGUGAAAGACGACCGUCGGAUGGUGAUACCUUUGAGGAGUUACAUGCAAGAACUGCAAGUGGUGGACAAAAUUGUUAAUGAUUCUGAAGGGAUGCAUCUUGUUUACAUAUUUGUGUUGUCAAUAUUUGGAUUGUUUCAUUUAUUUGGUGAUAUUUGUAAUUACAGUUCUUUCAGUGCUGUAAGGAUGCUUUUGAAAUAAAUUGAGUUCUCAUUGAAGUUACUGUAAGGAUGAUUUGCGAAAUAAAUUGAGUUAUCAUUGAAGUUAAUGUAAGGAUACUUUUUGAAAUAAA
This is an RNA transcript of Zea mays, 1286 nucleotides long. RefSeq lists it as uncharacterized. The record is from RefSeq and is a predicted model, not a curated record. The transcript has 6 exons. Lineage: Eukaryota; Viridiplantae; Streptophyta; Magnoliopsida; Poales; Poaceae.